UACGUAGGGUCCGAGCGUUGUCCGGAAUUACUGGGCGUAAAGAGCUCGUAGGUGGUUUGUCGCGUUGUUCGUGAAAACUCACAGCUCAACUGUGGGCGUGCGGGCGAUACGGGCAGACUAGAGUACUGCAGGGGAGAACGGAAUUCCUGGUGUAGCGGUGAAAUGCGCAGAUAUCAGGAGGAACACCGGUGGCGAAGGCGGUUCUCUGGGCAUUACCUGACGCUGAGGACCGAAAGUGUGGGGAGCGAACAGG
This 253-nucleotide ribosomal RNA is filed under the name uncultured bacterium. RNAcentral's name for it is "partial 16S ribosomal RNA". It matches the Rfam family "Bacterial small subunit ribosomal RNA", at positions 524 to 776 of the family's 1533-position model. The record is from RNAcentral.